Long non-coding RNA from Carassius gibelio (silver crucian carp), 2045 nucleotides. RefSeq lists it as uncharacterized. The transcript has 3 exons. Lineage: Eukaryota; Metazoa; Chordata; Actinopteri; Cypriniformes; Cyprinidae. The record is from RefSeq and is a predicted model, not a curated record.
CUGAGACUCCAGGAAAGUGGCAGUUCUGUAAAAUGUUGGCGCUGGAGACUAAAUGCUCACUGAUAGUUUCACACCUAAUUCACUUAAAACACACACAAACACACACACACAGUGACAGAGGGACAGAGUGACAUCAGAUGUAUGUUUUUUAAUUUUCUGUCAUCCAUAUAAUGUUGUAUAGUCAUGAAACUAUGCAUAUUUCCUCAGAAUGACUUGUCUUCUAUGUGUACAUUUUUUUGAAGUGUUUAGAAGCUGCACUUUUUUUUACUGGUUCCUUUUUUACUAUUAUUUCAAAAAAUCACCACGACAAAACCAUUCAAGCUAUCCAAAAUUCAUUCACACCUGUUCUGUAAGAUUAAUUCUUUAAACAGUGGUAAAAGAGGAUGUGGUGCUGAACCUUCAAGAGUCACUUAAAACGUAUCUGUCCAUAAAGCCUAUUAAGAAUUAUUCUUAAUAUACAGUUCACAAUACUUCAGCUUGUUAUUCUAAUUAAGUGAGGGUCAUUUUAUCAGUAAAAUUCCUAAAAUACAUAUUAUUUUAUUUGAAAGAUUUCUAUAAAUUAUUUAAAUCAUACUCGUUUCUCCAAUAAUUAUUUAAAAGUAAUCCUAUAGCUCCCUCUGGUGGCCAUUAUAGGUACUAAGAAUUGCAAGCUUGAUUUAUAAGUUAUGAUAGUUUUAAUUUUAUGCUGGCUCUUGAAAAUGAUAAAGCUAUGAAACUUACUGUGCUUCCUUCAAAUGAGGACUUCUACUUAUAUAAAAAAUUAUGAAGAGUUAGAAUGAAAAAUUUUAAAGAUAUAGUAAAAUAACUAUUGUAUUUUUUAUGUUACUUUAAUAAAUCUCUAUGGCAACACCAUUUAAGCUAUCCUAAACCCAUUCACAAUUUAACAUCUCAGUAUAUUGGCAUCAUGUUGAAAAAGGAGUAUGGAGUAGUAUGAGGAGGAGUAUGAAUUCAUUUACAGGCUGAUUUUAUCAUAAAUCCACAAUAAAAUUUCUGAGUUCUGUAUCAAUCUGUGUUGUUGUUUGUUUAUUUUUAUCUUUUAUUUUUCAUAGGAAGAUAACUGACCCUUUACUCUCCUUUUUAAUAAAUGUGCUUAUAAACCAAGGACAAGCUAUUUAUAGCUGUAUUUAUAAACUGCUUACUACUGACUAUUAAUAUUGGGACAAGGCUUUAUAAAGCAUGAACUGACUAUUUACUAAUGAGUGCAGUUAUUAUAAAGUGUUAUCAAUGAAUUUGCUAAUGUUAACAAAUUAGACAUUAUUUUACAGUGUUAUCAAAUCCUUAAAUGACUCAUAAGCAUUUGUGAAAGUUCUGCUUGCAUUACAGCUUAGUAUUGAUCUGUGAGCUGAACAGAUUUACUGUUACAUCUAUGAGAUUAUGUAAAUUCAAAUAAAUAUAAUGUCACAGGAUGUCAUAGGUCAGUAUCAAAUGAGUUUGAAAUUAUUAUUUGCAGCACAAAUAAGUUUUUUUUUAGGAUUUUUAAAAAUCCCUAAAACUGUCAGAAAAAGGUUAAGGCCUAAGCUAUUUCUAUGUGAGUGGCUAAAUUUAUUUUUGUUUUUAUAAUUGUAAUACACAAACUAUGAAAUUAUACAAAAUGUAUAAAAAGGUAAAUAAAUAAAUACGCACACAUUAAAAAAGCAGCCAAGUCGAAUGAGUUUCCUUUUUUAUAUAGAUUAAAAUUGAAGACAGAAGCAAGUGGUAAAUGUGGUCACUUUAAUAUUCAAAUCCAGUAGAUCCAGUUUAUGUUCACGUGGCUGUUUUCGUUUAUAGUCGCCAAGCUAUUAUGUAUUUUGAAAUAAUCUUGUCCGUUAUGUGUUCGUUCGUACGACGAAAGGCAGAAUCCUGCAGCUCGAGAGAUAUGUUAUUCUGCCAGUCGCGCUUUCAAAUAGUCUUGCACACUUAAACAGGUCACAAACACCUGCAUUUAGCUCUUGUUGUGUUACAAUGGGUUUAUUGUGUGCAUUUGUGGUAAUAUUUUAUUUAAAAAAGCUCUUAAACAAGAAUAAAUUCGUUUGUUUUGAGCUGGACACUGUACGCGCUGAUCGGAG